This 30-nucleotide non-coding RNA is filed under the name Rattus norvegicus (Norway rat). Lineage: Eukaryota; Metazoa; Chordata; Mammalia; Rodentia; Muridae. The record is from RNAcentral.
UGGACAUUCUAGUGUGCAAUUUGCCUGGUA